Molecule: ribosomal RNA, 468 nt
Filed under: uncultured bacterium
Lineage: Bacteria
Description: partial 16S ribosomal RNA
Rfam family: Bacterial small subunit ribosomal RNA
Source: RNAcentral
GACGAACGCUGGCGGCGUGCUUAACACAUGCAAGUCGAACGGAAAGGCCCUGCUUUUGUGGGGUGCUCGAGUGGCGAACGGGUGAGUAACACGUGAGUAACCUGCCCUUGACUUUGGGAUAACUUCAGGAAACUGGGGCUAAUACCGGAUAGGAGCUCCUGCUGCAUGGUGGGGGUUGGAAAGUUUCGGCGGUUGGGGAUGGACUCGCGGCUUAUCAGCUUGUUGGUGGGGUAGUGGCUUACCAAGGCUUUGACGGGUAGCCGGCCUGAGAGGGUGACCGGCCACAUUGGGACUGAGAUACGGCCCAGACUCCUACGGGAGGCAGCAGUGGGAAAUAUUGCACAAUGGGCGGAAGCCUGGUGCAGCAACGCCGCGUGCGGGAUGACGGCCUUCGGGUUGUAAACCGCUUUCGCCUGUGACGAAGCGUGAGUGACGGUAAUGGGUAAAGAAGCACCGGCUAACUACGUG